GGAGGCAGCAGUAGGGAAUCUUCCGCAAUGGGCGAAAGCCUGACGGAGCAACGCCGCGUGAGUGAUGAAGGUCUUCGGAUCGUAAAACUCUGUUAUUAGGGAAGAACAUAUGUGUAAGUAACUGUGCACAUCUUGACGGUACCUAAUCAGAAAGCCACGGCUAACUACGUGCCAGCAGCCGCGGUAAUA
RNAcentral lists this ribosomal RNA (189 nucleotides) under uncultured Staphylococcus sp. RNAcentral describes it as "partial 16S ribosomal RNA". It matches the Rfam family "Bacterial small subunit ribosomal RNA", at positions 344 to 525 of the family's 1533-position model. Lineage: Bacteria; Bacillati; Bacillota; Bacilli; Caryophanales; Staphylococcaceae. The record is from RNAcentral.